Long non-coding RNA from Chenopodium quinoa (quinoa), 481 nucleotides. RefSeq lists it as uncharacterized. The transcript has 2 exons. Lineage: Eukaryota; Viridiplantae; Streptophyta; Magnoliopsida; Caryophyllales; Amaranthaceae. The record is from RefSeq and is a predicted model, not a curated record.
UGUACAUUACUCCCAGAAAUUGCCUAUAUUCAUUUUGUCCUUCACCACCUCGUUGUCAAUCCAAGAUUGUUAUUAAGCUAAGAUAUACAGGAAAAUCAAAUCAGGAAGCUGCAACUGGAAUGCACACCUCAACUAAUGCUUUUUGAAUGAAAUGUAUUGAAAAAAAAAAGUGAAGGGCAUCAAGAAGAUUGAUAAAUGAGUUAUAAUAUAAGCAAUUUCUUUUUGCUUUAAAUAGAACAUUGUUUUUUGCAUAUUUGAUGUAUAAACAAGUUAUAUAUUUUGUAUGUCAUAUUUCAUACAAUAGUAGAAUUGUUUGCUAGAUAUUAUUAUAAAAAAUGUGAAAUUAUCAUAUCAGUACUAGUAAUUCAUUAAAUUCUCAACAUUAUAUCAUCUUUAACUAUAUGUUUAUGACCAUAUCAUCAAAUAUUCAUAAACAAUAUAAUAACAUAAAGGUUCUUGUCAAACAUAAAAAAUAAAAAAA